Molecule: ribosomal RNA, 260 nt
Filed under: uncultured bacterium
Lineage: Bacteria
Description: partial 16S ribosomal RNA
Rfam family: Bacterial small subunit ribosomal RNA
Source: RNAcentral
UACGGAGGGUGCAAGCAUUGAUCGGAAUUACUGGGCGUAAAGGGCGCGUAGGCGGUUGAAAAGUCAGAUGUGAAAUUCCGGGGCUCAACCCCGGAGCUGCAUUCGAAACUAUUCAACUAGAGUACAGUUAGGGUAAACGGAAUUCCACGUGUAGCGGUGAAAUGCGUAGAUAUGUGGAAGAACACCGGUGGUGAAGACGGUUUACUGGGCUGAAACUGACGCUGAGGCGCGAAAGCUAGGGGAGCAAACAGGAUUAGAAA